This 254-nucleotide ribosomal RNA is filed under the name uncultured bacterium. RNAcentral's name for it is "partial 16S ribosomal RNA". It matches the Rfam family "Bacterial small subunit ribosomal RNA", at positions 524 to 776 of the family's 1533-position model. The record is from RNAcentral.
UACGGAGGGUGCAAGCGUUAUCCGGAUUCACUGGGUUUAAAGGGUGCGUAGGUGGGCUGGUAAGUCAGUGGUGAAAUCUCCACGCUCAACGUGGAGGAGCCAUACGAGACUGCCAUGACUAGAGUCCGGUAGAGGAAUGUGGAAUUCCCGGUGUAGCGGUGAAAUGCGCAGAGAUCGGGAGGAACACCCGUAGCGAAGGCGGCAUUCUGGGCCGGUACUGACGCUGAGGAGCGAAAGCGUGGGGAGCAAACAGG